RNAcentral lists this ribosomal RNA (747 nucleotides) under Acinetobacter sp. P3B10. RNAcentral's name for it is "bacterial SSU rRNA". It matches the Rfam family "Bacterial small subunit ribosomal RNA", at positions 93 to 835 of the family's 1533-position model. Lineage: Bacteria; Pseudomonadati; Pseudomonadota; Gammaproteobacteria; Moraxellales; Moraxellaceae. The record is from RNAcentral.
UAGCGGCGGACGGGUGAGUAAUGCUUAGGAAUCUGCCUAUUAGUGGGGGACAACAUUCCGAAAGGAAUGCUAAUACCGCAUACGCCCUACGGGGGAAAGCAGGGGAUCUUCGGACCUUGCGCUAAUAGAUGAGCCUAAGUCAGAUUAGCUAGUUGGUGGGGUAAAGGCCUACCAAGGCGACGAUCUGUAGCGGGUCUGAGAGGAUGAUCCGCCACACUGGGACUGAGACACGGCCCAGACUCCUACGGGAGGCAGCAGUGGGGAAUAUUGGACAAUGGGGGGAACCCUGAUCCAGCCAUGCCGCGUGUGUGAAGAAGGCCUUUUGGUUGUAAAGCACUUUAAGCGAGGAGGAGGCUACUGGUAUUAAUACUACCGGAUAGUGGACGUUACUCGCAGAAUAAGCACCGGCUAACUCUGUGCCAGCAGCCGCGGUAAUACAGAGGGUGCGAGCGUUAAUCGGAUUUACUGGGCGUAAAGCGUGCGUAGGCGGCUUUUUAAGUCGGAUGUGAAAUCCCUGAGCUUAACUUAGGAAUUGCAUUCGAUACUGGGAAGCUAGAGUAUGGGAGAGGAUGGUAGAAUUCCAGGUGUAGCGGUGAAAUGCGUAGAGAUCUGGAGGAAUACCGAUGGCGAAGGCAGCCAUCUGGCCUAAUACUGACGCUGAGGUACGAAAGCAUGGGGAGCAAACAGGAUUAGAUACCCUGGUAGUCCAUGCCGUAAACGAUGUCUACUAGCCGUUGGGGCCUUUGA